This is a long non-coding RNA of Corapipo altera (White-ruffed manakin), 2441 nucleotides long. RefSeq lists it as uncharacterized. NCBI's taxonomy places the organism in Eukaryota, Metazoa, Chordata, Aves, Passeriformes, Pipridae. The transcript is spliced from 3 exons. The record is from RefSeq and is a predicted model, not a curated record.
GCUCUGACGUUUAUCUCUCGGUGUCUUUCUACCUAUCCCAAAACCCACUUCGGAACUGUCUGGGCUACAUCCGUAUUUCUAUGGAUGAAACAAUGCACGGGACCAUUCAAAUCCUGCCCAUCAUAAUGACCUGACCUAUGAAUCCACUUGUGAUAACCUUGACCAUCAACAAAAGGUCUUCAAUUCCUACCUAAGAAACUGCAGAGAAUAUGUAUUGGAUGCUGUCAGAAAAGGGAAAGUCUUUCACUCAUAUUUGAGUCUGCCCACUGUUUUUAAUUCAGAUCUUGUUUUCUUGCACAGCUCCAGUGAGAGCAAAGGAUGAGAACAGAGAGCUGGGAGAGCCACCAACACAAAAACAGCUGAAAUGUGUUCUCUCAGGCAAAAAGCCAGAAAUCAUGAGGAUUACCAUCAGGAGGCUACUCUCUGUUAACCACAGUGAAAGCAGGAGACCUUCACCCUAUGUCUCUCCUAAUCACAGUGUCUGACUUCUCCACUUCCCCUUCAGCUCUGUCUCCUCUUCAAACAGAUUUCACCAAUCUCACAAAACUCACGUAUUUCCAGUCUUCCAGGCAUGUUGAUGGCACCAUAUCCAACAGAUGCAGCAAAGAUGUGUAUAUUUACUGGGAAAAAAUGAGGAGCACAGAUUUCAUUAAUGAGCAAUGUUCAACUGAGAACUGAGCUGACAGUGAAAAGCUCAGUGUAAGUCAUGAGGCUGCACAUUCGUUCUACAUAAUGGACCUUGCAUUUACUCAUUUACCUGUUGCCUGCAGAGAAACCUCUUAGUAUUUCAUUUCGGCUGAUUAGAAACAAAACUAAUGCAAGCAUUUUUUAACUAAUUAAUCAGGAACUUUCUUACAGUGUUUUUCAGCCAUUCUUAAACGGUUUUAGUCUGUAGCCAAGUGGUUACUCUCAGAUACUAAACAAAUGAUAUCAUGAGUGCAAAGUCUCCUAGCUACUAAUGGCACCCAACAUUUACAUUCAAACCUGUUCUCUCCACCCAUCUGGUAUCAAUUUAAAUUCCUCUCAACAAAAAUAGAGGAAAAAAAUCAGCUUUAAAGGAGAAGAGUGGAGAAGACAAUGCUUCAGUAAAGCUAUUACACAUAGUAAUGUCUGCAAGGAAUGAAAAAACCCAGAGGGUUUCUCAUGUGACUUGAGAAGAACAGAGGUGUGAGACUGGGGUGUAAUUACAUCUAGUGCUGUCUGCAGAUAUGCUGGAAAAAAAAGAUUGGAUAUUGAAGAACAACACAAUGUAAACAGACUAUAAUGGGCUACUUGACAAUAGUAGAGAAAAGGCCAGAAAAGGCCAGGGAAAUACCAGUUAUUACUUGUACCAUUGUAACUACAAAACAGUAAUAUUGCCAGAGUUUAAAAACAAAUCAUAUGUAGCAUUUCUACCAUUAGUCCCAUUAACGCCAUUAAAAUAGGGAAUUUAACAUGUAAGACAUAGUGAAACGCAGCUAUCCCCAGUUUUUAGAAGGAGGAGGAUAAAGGGGAGGAUAAAGAUGUGACUGGUAUCCAAUGUGCCCUAAUGAUGCAGACAUUAAUGAGGACUUGGGAGGUUUUGCUCUUUCCCUGGCUGUAUCUGCCCAGCCUUACUGGACCACUUUCUGCAAGUUGCUUCUCACUUCCCUGCUUCAGUUUCUCCAUGAAAAUAUUCUUAUUUUAGCAAAUGUUUUGUGACUUACUAUCAUAAAGCACUAUAUGAGAUCUAGUUAUGAACUAGAACUUGUUCAUUGAAUGAAAAUGCUCAGGCAACAACUUAAACCUAAUCUGACCCAUCCAAAAAUCUUUCCUGUGCAGAGAAAAGAAGUAAAGAUGUAAAUAGCAAUUUACAAAAGUCUCUGGCAAACAAGCAAACACCCUAAAUACAACCUAGGAUAAUACAAUGUUUGUUGAGUAUUUCUUGUAUCUUUUCAAAAUGCAGAGUGACAAUUAGUUACACGGGAAAAAAAAAUCAGAACACUAAGAUAUAAAGUGUUCUCCAGCACAACCAUUACUCUUCUAUGCACAGUGACUCCAUCUUCCAGGCAGUGCACAGCUCUGAGAAUUGCACAUACAGCCUCUGCCAAGGCCAGACCUGUGUUCAGGUGUGGCUGUACCAAACACAACUAUCCUACAUCUAUUCCUGAUCAGCACUGGAGUCUACUUCUCAUGCACAGGACACCUCAACACAUUUUUCUUUCUAAAGCCUAAAAAUAUCCUUUUAAUGGCUUCUUAAAAGUCCUUUUAAAAUUCUACACCCAGACCACACUUACUGCUGAGAGUCUGCAUGACCUGAAGAACUUUAUGCACAGCACUGCAGUUUUACAGUAAGUGCAUUAAAACUAGCUAUGAAAGCAUAUGCAUGCAAAUUACUAAUGGCUCUUGAAGUAUGCAUGGAGAAUUAGGGGUUAUAUUUAGCACUUCACAUACUAGUCUUCAGAGUUGAAUUGCAUUUACUU